AGUAUAAGCAAUUAUACCGUGAAACUGCGAAUGGCUCAUUAAAUCAGUUAUCGUUUAUUUGAUAGUACCUUACUACUUGGAUAACCGUGGUAAUUCUAGAGCUAAUACAUGCUAAAAACCCCGACUUCGGGAGGGGUGUAUUUAUUAGAUAAAAAACCAAUGCCCUUCGGGGCUCCUUGGUGAAUCAUAAUAACUUAACGGAUCGCAUGGCCUUGCGCCGGCGACGGUUCAUUCAAAUUUCUGCCCUAUCAACUUUCGAUUGUAGGGUAUUGGCCUACAAUGGUAUCAACGGGUAACGGGGAAUUAGGGUUCGAUUCCGGAGAGGGAGCCUGAGAAACGGCUACCACAUCCAAGGAAGGCAGCAGGCGCGCAAAUUACCCAAUCCCGACACGGGGAGGUAGUGACAAUAAAUACUGAUACAGGGCUCUUUUGGGUCUUGUAAUUGGAAUGAGUACAAUUUAAAUCCCUUAACGAGGAACAAUUGGAGGGCAAGUCUGGUGCCAGCAGCCGCGGUAAUUCCAGCUCCAAUAGCGUAUAUUAAAGUUGUUGCAGUUAAAAAGCUCGUAGUUGAACCUUGGGUCUGGCUGGCCGGUCCGCCUCACCGCGUGCACUGGUCCGGCCGGACCUUUCCUUCUGGAGAACCGCAUGCCCUUCACUGGGUGUGCCGGGGAACCAGGACUUUUACUUUGAAAAAAUUAGAGUGUUCAAAGCAGGCCUUUGCUCGAAUACAUUAGCAUGGAAUAAUAGAAUAGGACGUGCGGUCCUAUUUUGUUGGUUUCUAGGACCGCCGUAAUGAUUAAUAGGGAUAGUCGGGGGCAUCAGUAUUCAAUUGUCAGAGGUGAAAUUCUUAGAUUUAUUGAAGACUAACUACUGCGAAAGCAUUUGCCAAGGAUGUUUUCAUUAAUCAGUGAACGAAAGUUAGGGGAUCGAAGACGAUCAGAUACCGUCGUAGUCUUAACCGUAAACUAUGCCGACUAGGGAUCGGGCGAUGUUAUUCUUUUGACUCGCUCGGCACCUUACGAGAAAUCAAAGUUUUUGGGUU
Molecule: ribosomal RNA, 1042 nt
Filed under: Rhytidhysteron neorufulum
Lineage: Eukaryota; Fungi; Ascomycota; Dothideomycetes; Hysteriales; Hysteriaceae
Description: SSU rRNA
Rfam family: Eukaryotic small subunit ribosomal RNA
Source: RNAcentral